Molecule: ribosomal RNA, 305 nt
Filed under: uncultured bacterium
Lineage: Bacteria
Description: partial 16S ribosomal RNA
Rfam family: Bacterial small subunit ribosomal RNA
Source: RNAcentral
ACAGCAGCAGCCGCGGGAAUACGUAGGGUGCGAGCGUUAAUCGGAAUUACUGGGCGUAAAGCGUGCGCAGGCGGUUAUAUAAGACAGUUGUGAAAUCCCCGGGCUCAACCUGGGAACUGCAUCUGUGACUGUAUAGCUAGAGUACGGUAGAGGGGGAUGGAAUUCCGCGUGUAGCAGUGAAAUGCGUAGAUAUGCGGAGGAACACCGAUGGCGAAGGCAAUCCCCUGGACCUGUACUGACGCUCAUGCACGAAAGCGUGGGGAGCAAACAGGAUUAGAUACCCGUGUAGUCCCUGUCUCUUAUAC